UACGUAGGGGGCGAGCGUUAUCCGGAUUCACUGGGUGUAAAGGGAGCGUAGACGGCCAUGCAAGCCAGGGGUGAAAGCCCGGGGCCCAACCCCGGGACUGCCCUUGGAACUGCAUGGCUGGAGUGCAGGAGGGGCAGGCGGAAUUCCUGGUGUAGCGGUGAAAUGCGUAGAUAUCAGGAGGAACACCGGUGGCGAAGGCGGCCUGCUGGACUGCAACUGACGUUGAGGCCCGAAAGCGUGGGGAGCAAACAGG
RNAcentral lists this ribosomal RNA (253 nucleotides) under uncultured bacterium. RNAcentral's name for it is "partial 16S ribosomal RNA". It matches the Rfam family "Bacterial small subunit ribosomal RNA", at positions 524 to 776 of the family's 1533-position model. The record is from RNAcentral.